UACGAGUGGCGUUGGCUUCUGACAUCAGAAUUCAACAACCCUCGUAAACAGGUAUUUAAAUAAAUUAAUUAGUUAAUUUAUCAUUAAGUACGUGCGUUUUUAAAAUAUUUUACUAAUAGUUUACUUUUUUCUUUGAAGGCGGUUUCCCGGGUGAACGCUCAGAACCGGCAACGCAACACAAGGAACCAUCAUGCCGGUUCUAGACCGUUCGCUGUCUUCGUGGACGAGGCGGCCAGGGAACAUCCAGAGGUUAACCAGUACGUCUAUACGUACGAGAGGGCAUAUCCUGACUCUCAGGAGGAUAUAGUAAGUACUAUUUCCUUUUUACGGAAUUUUUAAUUUUACUUAUAUAUAUGUCAAAAUGUUAAUUAAUAAUUUUUUUCCUAUCCAAUUAGGCAAAGGUGAGGGAGGCUAGUGACGAGGUGAUGAGUGCUAUAGUGAGGGAGACAUGGCCGGACACGCAGGAGGAAGAGAUGUCCGAAGCCAUUUCCCGGAUCGACACUUUAGAUCCGAGGGUUGGGGCGAGGAUCAUGGACACAGCCUUCCCACCGCGAGAAAACAACUUCUACUGCCGGGGUCUAGGAAAGAAGGGUUAGGGGGUCUUGAAGACCACUAUAGGAUUUCAACGAAAGGCGGGCUCGACCAACAGCAGGACGGCUCAGCUAGAGUCGGAAGUUGAGAGACUACGGGAACAGCAAGCCGCUCAGGCUGCCGCUCAUGCUGCUCAGGCUGCCGCUCAGGCUGCUCAGGCUGCCGCUCAUGCCGCCCAGAUCGCCGAAUAUAGAGCCUUUACUAGAGCCCUACAUGCCGCUCAGCAGGCCCAGCAGCAGCAGAUGUUCCAGUACUUCCAGGAUUUUACAGCUGCCCAGCAACAAGGACUUCCACCUCCGCCCAUGCCUGCGCCUAUAGAGUUACCUCUGCCGCAGCAAUCUCCUCACCAGCAGACCCGAGAUUCGGAUAUUGAUUUAGACCAUCUAGAUUUUGUGUAGUUGAUACCUUAUAUAGUUUUAUGUGCUUCUUGUUGGUUAUAUAUAUGGAAUUGU
Molecule: long non-coding RNA, 1043 nt
Filed under: Fragaria vesca (wild strawberry)
Lineage: Eukaryota; Viridiplantae; Streptophyta; Magnoliopsida; Rosales; Rosaceae
Description: long non-coding RNA (FVES_LNC005219)
Source: RNAcentral